GGGCCUUUAGCUCAGUUGGUAGAGCGCCACGUUUACACCGUGGAUGUCAUCGGUUCGAGCCCGGUAGGGCCCACCG
RNAcentral lists this transfer RNA (76 nucleotides) under Rathayibacter toxicus. RNAcentral describes it as "tRNA-Val". It matches the Rfam family "tRNA". From Rfam's summary of the family: Transfer RNA (tRNA) molecules are approximately 80 nucleotides in length. Lineage: Bacteria; Bacillati; Actinomycetota; Actinomycetes; Micrococcales; Microbacteriaceae. RNAcentral also lists the same sequence under 2 other names. The record is from RNAcentral.